RNAcentral lists this microRNA precursor (93 nucleotides) under Helianthus annuus (common sunflower). RNAcentral's name for it is "sRNA HanXRQr2_Chr06g0263081". It matches the Rfam family "mir-395 microRNA precursor family". Rfam says of the family: mir-395 was identified in both Arabidopsis thaliana and Oryza sativa computationally and was later experimentally verified. mir-395 is thought to target mRNAs coding for ATP sulphurylases. The mature sequence is excised from the 3' arm of the hairpin. Lineage: Eukaryota; Viridiplantae; Streptophyta; Magnoliopsida; Asterales; Asteraceae. The record is from Rfam by way of RNAcentral.
AUGUUCCUUAGAGUUCCUCUAAACACUUCACUUCACUGGAAUGUCUUCUUUUAGAUUUCCUAUUGAAGUGUUUGGAGGAACUCCAAGAGCCGC